This 309-nucleotide ribosomal RNA is filed under the name Triticum aestivum (bread wheat). RNAcentral describes it as "partial small subunit ribosomal RNA". The record is from RNAcentral. Lineage: Eukaryota; Viridiplantae; Streptophyta; Magnoliopsida; Poales; Poaceae.
AUGUGGGCUGCAAGCUGCAACGAAGUGGUCCGCAGCAGAGAGGAAUCGGUUCAGAAGAAAAAACUAACACUUGGUCAUGGGCAUGAGGCAAACCUGCAGUUAGUAGCAAAAGCGAUGAUGCCAGACCGCCACCUACAACUGUGCUCCCGUAGCUACUAUGACCACUGCCGAUGGAGGCCCUUGCCGGGAGACCCAAGCACCUGGGAGGUGGGCUGCAACACAACAGUUGUGCACUGCACGCGCAUGUGGGUGGAAGUUGGAUGGUAUGGCACUAACCGCCGCCCGCCAGAAGUGCAGUCCGUCGAGUAG